Molecule: ribosomal RNA, 466 nt
Filed under: uncultured bacterium
Lineage: Bacteria
Description: partial 16S ribosomal RNA
Rfam family: Bacterial small subunit ribosomal RNA
Source: RNAcentral
ACGAACGCUGGCGGCGUGCUUAACACAUGCAAGUCGAACGGAAAGGCCCUGCUUUUGUGGGGUGCUCGAGUGGCGAACGGGUGAGUAACACGUGAGUAACCUGCCCCUGACUUUGGGAUAACCUCAGGAAACUGGGGCUAGUACCGGAUAGGAGCCUCUGCUGCAUGGUGGGGGUUGGAAAGUUUCGGCGGUUGGGGAUGGACUCGCGGCUUAUCAGCUUGUUGGUGGGGUAGUGGCUUACCAAGGCUUUGACGGGUAGCCGGCCUGGGAGGGUGACCGGCCACAUGGGGACGGGGAUACGGCCCAGACUCCUACGGGAGGCAGCAGUGGGGAAUAUUGCACAAUGGGCGGAGGCCUGAUGCAGAAACGCCGCGUGGGGGAUGACGGCCUUCGGGUUGUAAACCGCUUUCGCCUGUGACGAGGCGUGGGUGACGGUAAUGGGUAAAGAAGCACCGGCUAACUACGU